This 87-nucleotide transfer RNA is filed under the name Cryomyces minteri. Its description in RNAcentral is "tRNA-Pro". It matches the Rfam family "tRNA". From Rfam's summary of the family: Transfer RNA (tRNA) molecules are approximately 80 nucleotides in length. Their secondary structure includes four short double-helical elements and three loops (D, anti-codon, and T loops). Further hydrogen bonds mediate the characteristic L-shaped molecular structure. tRNAs have two regions of fundamental functional importance: the anti-codon, which is responsible for specific mRNA codon recognition, and the 3' end, to which the tRNAs corresponding amino acid is attached (by aminoacyl-tRNA synthetases). tRNAs cope with the degeneracy of the genetic code in two manners: having more than one tRNA (with a specific anti-codon) for a particular amino acid; and 'wobble' base-pairing, i.e. permitting non-standard base-pairing at the 3rd anti-codon position. The record is from RNAcentral. Lineage: Eukaryota; Fungi; Ascomycota; Dothideomycetes.
GGCCUGAUGGUCUAGUCGUAUGAUUCUCGCUUUGGGUCGAAGAACACAUCAUGCGAGAGGUCCGGGGUUCAAUUCCCCGUCAGGCCC